This 293-nucleotide long non-coding RNA is filed under the name Panax ginseng (ginseng). RNAcentral describes it as "long non-coding RNA (PGIN_LNC004045)". The record is from RNAcentral. Lineage: Eukaryota; Viridiplantae; Streptophyta; Magnoliopsida; Apiales; Araliaceae.
CCCACUUCCUUCGGAGCCCAAAACGGAGACGCCGUAGACUAAUCACACCUCCACGGAGAGUGUCAUGCCUCUCGUGCCAAGACGACAUGCCUGUGGUACCCCCACAGGUGGUUAUAGCUCAGGUAUACCCUACGGUAUAUUCUAACAAAAUACCAUGUCACAACACAUGCGACAUAAUACCAACAAAAAGGGUUCUAUAUGUACAUGUUGAACCAAAUCAAAUUCUAGUCACAAGGUUUCAAAAAGAAGGUAGCAACAUGUACCGCUCUACAAUUAUCAAAAAUAAAUACUAA